CCUGGGGGGGGGUGCUUUACCAUGCAGUCGACGGUGAAGCCAAGCUUGCUUGGUGGAUCAGUGGCGAACGGGUGAGUAACACGUGAGCAACCUGCCCUGGACUCUGGGAUAAGCGCUGGAAACGGCGUCUAAUACUGGAUAUGAGCUCUUACCGCAUGGUGGGGGUUGGAAAGAUUUUUCGGUCUGGGAUGGGCUCGCGGCCUAUCAGCUUGUUGGUGAGGUAAUGGCUCACCAAGGCGUCGACGGGUAGCCGGCCUGAGAGGGUGACCGGCCACACUGGGACUGAGACACGGCCCAGACUCCUACGGGAGGCAGCAGUGGGGAAUAUUGCACAAUGGGCGGAAGCCUGAUGCAGCAACGCCGCGUGAGGGAUGACGGCCUUCGGGUUGUAAACCUCUUUUAGCAGGGAAGAAGCGUGAGUGACGGUACCUGCAGAAAAAGCGCCGGCUAACUACGUGCCAGCAGCCGCGGUAAUACGUAGGGCGCAAGCGUUAUCCGGAAUUAUUGGGCGUAAAGAGCUCGUAGGCGGUUUGUCGCGUCUGCUGUGAAAUCCCGAGGCUCAACCUCGGGCCUGCAGUGGGUACGGGCAGACUAGAGUGCGGUAGGGGAGAUUGGAAUUCCUGGUGUAGCGGUGGAAUGCGCAGAUAUCAGGAGGAACACCGAUGGCGAAGGCAGAUCUCUGGGCCGUAACUGACGCUGAGGAGCGAAAGGGUGGGGAGCAAACAGGCUUAGAUACCCUGGUAGUCCACCCCCGUAAACGUUGGGAACUAGUUGUGGGGACCAUUCCACGGUUUCCGUGACGCAGCUAACGCAUUAAGUUCCCCGCCUGGGGAGUACGGCCGCAAGGCUAAAACUCAAAGGAAUUGACGGGGACCCGCACAAGCGGCGGAGCAUGCGGAUUAAUUCGAUGCAACGCGAAGAACCUUACCAAGGCUUGACAUACACCAGAACACCGUAGAAAUACGGGACUCUUUGGACACUGGUGAACAGGUGGUGCAUGGUUGUCGUCAGCUCGUGUCGUGAGAUGUUGGGUUAAGUCCCGCAACGAGCGCAACCCUCGUUCUAUGUUGCCAGCACGUAAUGGUGGGAACUCAUGGGAUACUGCCGGGGUCAACUCGGAGGAAGGUGGGGAUGACGUCAAAUCAUCAUGCCCCUUAUGUCUUGGGCUUCACGCAUGCUACAAUGGCCGGUACAAAGGGCUGCAAUACCGUGAGGUGGAGCGAAUCCCAAAAAGCCGGUCCCAGUUCGGAUUGAGGUCUGCAACUCGACCUCAUGAAGUCGGAGUCGCUAGUAAUCGCAGAUCAGCAACGCUGCGGUGAAUACGUUCCCGGGUCUUGUACACACCGCCCGUCAAGUCAUGAAAGUCGGUAACACCUGAAGCCGGUGGCCCAACCCUGUGGAGGGAGCCGUCGAAGGGGGAUUAAU
RNAcentral lists this ribosomal RNA (1425 nucleotides) under Microbacterium sp. RNAcentral describes it as "bacterial SSU rRNA". It matches the Rfam family "Bacterial small subunit ribosomal RNA". The record is from RNAcentral. Lineage: Bacteria; Bacillati; Actinomycetota; Actinomycetes; Micrococcales; Microbacteriaceae.